Molecule: ribosomal RNA, 460 nt
Filed under: uncultured bacterium
Lineage: Bacteria
Description: partial 16S ribosomal RNA
Rfam family: Bacterial small subunit ribosomal RNA
Source: RNAcentral
CCUACGGGAGGCAGCAGUGAGGAAUAUUGGUCAAUGGACGAGAGUCUGAACCAGCCAAGUAGCGUGAAGGAUGACUGCCCUAUGGGUUGUAAACUUCUGUUAUAAAGGAAUAAAACGAGGCACGUGUGCCUUUUUGCAUGUACUUUAUGAAUAAGGAUCGGCUAACUCCGUGCCAGCAGCCGCGGUAAUACGGAGGAUCCGAGCGUUAUCCGGAUUUAUUGGGUUUAAAGGGAGCGUAGAUGGGUUGUUAAGUCAUUUGUGAAAGUUUACGGCUCAACCGUAAAAUUGCAAUUGAUACUGGCAGUCUUGAGUACAGUAGAGGUAGGCGGAAUUCGUGGUGUAGCGGUGAAAUGCUUAGAUAUCACGAAGAACCCCGAUUGCGAAGGCAGCUUACUAAGCUGUGACUGACAUUGAUGCUCGAAAGUGUGGGGAUCAAACAGGAUUAGAUACCCGUGUAGUC